AGCCUUUGACAUGGGACGUUUGAGUCGCAGAGACGCGACUCUUCAGUUCGGCUGGCGUCCACACAGGUGCUGCAUGGCUGUCGUCAGCUCGUGUCGUGAGAUGUUGGGUUAAAGUCCCGCAACGAGCGCAACCCUCAUCUUCAGUUGCCAGCGGUUCGGCCGGGCACUCUGAAGAAACCGCCGGUGACAAGCCGGAGGAAGGCGGGGAUGACGUCAAGUCCUCAUGGCCCUUACG
RNAcentral lists this ribosomal RNA (235 nucleotides) under uncultured bacterium. Its description in RNAcentral is "partial 16S ribosomal RNA". It matches the Rfam family "Bacterial small subunit ribosomal RNA", at positions 977 to 1206 of the family's 1533-position model. The record is from RNAcentral.